AUGGCGGCUUAUGGAAGCACACGAGACGGUCCGUUGGAGAAGAAGAGGAAGAAGGUGGUUGCGUGGAGCCAAGAGGACGAUGUCUCGUCGCCUGAUCCUGCUUCCUACUACUUGGCCAAGAAGAUGGAACAGGCCAGACGCGAUGAAGAAUCAGCUCCCCGCCCUGUGAACAUCCCCACGCUCGAUCACUUCACACCCCCGACCAGGUUCCACACCGCCCAGCUCUUCUCCGUCCGUGAAUCUGGAAGCCAGGCCGUGCUCUCCGCUGCCAAAUUUCUCCUAGGAGUAUCAUCCUCUCUUGAUGGUGAACCGCUGAGACGCUGCUCCGGCUUCUGGGUCGAUUGGGAUGAGGAGAAGAAAACCGGCCUUGUUUUGACUACUGCGCGACUCAUUCGCACAAAGGAUGCUCCUGACAACGUCUCCUCAGGCGGCGAACAGUAUGCCCCUCGUGCUGAUGCUACUACAGGAUUGGCUGGUCAGCCAUGCAAAACAAAACAGAGCACUGGAGCACUAAGAGCAAGGGAUGGAACAAAACCAAUAAAAAAGAGAAGGAACCAUACCAUGGAUCAGCUUGGUACACAUGGUGUCUAUUAA
RNAcentral lists this ribosomal RNA (594 nucleotides) under Triticum aestivum (bread wheat). RNAcentral describes it as "partial small subunit ribosomal RNA". Lineage: Eukaryota; Viridiplantae; Streptophyta; Magnoliopsida; Poales; Poaceae. The record is from RNAcentral.